AGAGUUUGAUCCUGGCUCAGGAUGAACGCUAGCUACAGGCUUAACACAUGCAAGUCGAGGGGAAACGACAUCGAAAGCUUGCUUUUGAUGGGCGUCGACCGGCGCACGGGUGAGUAACGCGUAUCCAACCUGCCCACCACUUGGGGAUAACCUUGCGAAAGUAAGACUAAUACCCAAUGACGUCUCUAGAAGACAUCUGAAGGAGAUUAAAGAUUUAUCGGUGAUGGAUGGGGAUGCGUCUGAUUAGCUUGGUUGGCGGGGUAACGGCCACCAAGGCGACGAUCAGUAGGGGUUCUGAGAAGAAGGUCCCCCANAUUGGAACUGAGACACGGUCCAAACUCCUACGGGAGGCA
RNAcentral lists this ribosomal RNA (353 nucleotides) under uncultured bacterium. Its description in RNAcentral is "bacterial SSU rRNA". It matches the Rfam family "Bacterial small subunit ribosomal RNA", at positions 8 to 350 of the family's 1533-position model. The record is from RNAcentral.